Molecule: long non-coding RNA, 396 nt
Filed under: Capsicum annuum
Lineage: Eukaryota; Viridiplantae; Streptophyta; Magnoliopsida; Solanales; Solanaceae
Description: long non-coding RNA (CANN_LNC007136)
Source: RNAcentral
CAUCUGUUAUAUUUAUAUUAUUAUCUAAUAAUUGUUUUGUCAUAUAUCCUAUCCAUAAUUGUAUUGUUUUUUCUGUAUCUAUUACACAGUCUAGAUCUAAAAAGUUAUAAUUUUUAUUCACUAUUUGUUUUGGUAUCCAUUUAUCAUAUUCAUUAUAUUUUUUAAACUUAUUCUUAUGGUAUAUAGGUUUUCUUAUUUCUGUUGUUUUAGGUAUUAUAUUUUCAUUUUCUUUUUUAUCAAGAGUAUUUAUUUCUGUUUGGGUAUUUUCUAAGUUUUCCUCAUUAAUUUUUUGUUCUUCAUUGAUUUCUAAAUUUUUUGUAUUUGUUAAUAUUUCUGUGUAUGUUUCACUAUCUUCGGACUCAUAAUUAUCUGUCUCUUCAAUAUCUAUAUUAUUUA